CACCCUCCACAAUGGGCAAAGAGACAUCUUAUUGAUGCUGUUCUUAUAUCAGCCAGGGGCAGAGCAGAUAGCAGGCCUUUGUUCAUCUUAGCCUGAGGCCUGGCUUGGUCACCGAAGAUGUCUUAUGCCUAGAAUACAUAA
Molecule: non-coding RNA, 141 nt
Organism: Mus musculus (house mouse)
Lineage: Eukaryota; Metazoa; Chordata; Mammalia; Rodentia; Muridae
Source: Rfam